AUAUUGGACAAUGGGCGAAAGCCUGAUCCAGCCAUGCCGCGUGUGUGAAGAAGGUCUUNGGAUUGNANAGCACUUUAAGUUGGGANACAGGGCAGUAAGUUAAUACCUUGCUGUUUUGACGUUACCGACAGAAUAAGCACCGGCUAACUUCGUGCCAGCAGCCGCGGUAAUACGAAGGGUGCAAGCGUUAAUCGGAAUUACUGGGCGUAAAGGCAGCGUAGGUGGUUAGUUAAGUUGGAAGUGAAAGCCCCGGGCUUAACCUGGGAAUUGCUUUCAAAACUGACGAGCUAGAGUACGGUAGAGGGUAGUGGAAUUUCCUGUGUAGCGGUGAAAUGCGUAGAUAUAGGAAGGAACAUCAGUGGCGAAGGCGACUACCUGGACUGAUACUGACACUGAGGUGCGAAAGCGUGGGGAGCAAACAGG
RNAcentral lists this ribosomal RNA (423 nucleotides) under uncultured bacterium. RNAcentral describes it as "partial 16S ribosomal RNA". It matches the Rfam family "Bacterial small subunit ribosomal RNA", at positions 361 to 776 of the family's 1533-position model. The record is from RNAcentral.